CCCUCAAUGGCUUCCUCUACCUUGGUCUUGUCAUCUGCGGAGAGCUUGGAAGCUAUCUUCUCAUCCUUCACAGUGUUCCUCAUGUUGUAUGCAUAGUUCUCCAAUGCAUUCUUUGCUUCAACCUUCUUCUUGUGUUCUUCAUCCUCUGACUUGUACUUCUCAGCUUCCUGGACCAUCUUCUCAAUUUCCUCCUUGGAGAGUCUACCCUUGUCAUUGGUGAUGGUGAUCUUGUUCUUCUGUCCAGUAGUCUUGUCCUCAGCAGACACAUUUAGGAUACCAUUGGCAUCAAUGUCAAAGCAAACAGUGAUCUGAGGAACACCCCUUGGAGCCGGAGGAAUGCCAGAGAGCUCAAACUUACCCAGUAAGUUGUUGUCCCUGGUCCUGGUUCUCUCACCUUCAUAAACCUGAAUCAACACACCAGGCUGGUUGUCGGAGUAGGUGGAAAAGACCUGCUCUUUCUUGGUAGGGAUAGUUGUGUUUCUUUGAAUCAAGACGGUCAUGACACCUCCAGCUGUUUCCAAACCAAGGGAAAGAGGGGUAACAUCCAAUAGAAGAAGAUCCUGCACCUUCUCAUUGCCUUCACCACUUAAGAUUGCUGCUUGUACAGCAGCCCCAUAAGCCACAGCCUCAUCAGGAUUAAUACUUUUGCAGAGCUCCUUUCCAUUGAAAAAAUCCUGCAACAGCUGCUGAACCUUUGGAAUCCUG
This 705-nucleotide long non-coding RNA is filed under the name Daucus carota (carrot). Its description in RNAcentral is "long non-coding RNA (DCAR_LNC002917)". Lineage: Eukaryota; Viridiplantae; Streptophyta; Magnoliopsida; Apiales; Apiaceae. The record is from RNAcentral.